UAUAUACAGCUAUAAAUGCACAUGUUGCACGAGAUCUAUGUUAACAAAUUUAACAAUUGAUUUAAGUCCAAUAUUUAAAAGUUAAAUAAUUCAAUUAUUUCAUGGACAAUCAGACCUGUGAGAGCAUUAAUGAUGAGCUUCCUGACUUCAGCUCUCGACCAAACGUUUUGUUAUGAUGCUCAGAGCGUACAACGGUACAUUGCAUCAUUUAUAUAUUUCAAAAAUUUUGCGGUAUAAAUGUGACCGUACUAGCUGAAGCUUCACUAAUUGAAGCUUCUUGCCACUACAUCAUUUGAAAUCAAUAACAAACUUAGGGAAAUGAUUUGUUUAAUCUUUAAAUUUUAAAUUAACUGUUGGUUUAAUUUUU
This 367-nucleotide long non-coding RNA is filed under the name Citrus x clementina. RNAcentral's name for it is "Citrus clementina (C. clementina) long non-coding RNA (CCLE_LNC000174)". Lineage: Eukaryota; Viridiplantae; Streptophyta; Magnoliopsida; Sapindales; Rutaceae. The record is from RNAcentral.